Molecule: non-coding RNA, 89 nt
Filed under: uncultured eukaryote
Lineage: Eukaryota
Source: RNAcentral
UGUUUUUUUGUUUUUUCUUUUUUUCUUCUUCUUUCUUUUUCUAUGUAAAAUGUACACUAAUAACUUUAAAAAAAUACAGGUGACGCUGC